AAAGAUGGUUCAAAGGGGUAGAGAAGAGAGUGGGGUACACAGCAAAUGAGAGAAGAAUGCUGAGCUGGAGAAGGGGCCUGCUGGGCCUGCAGAAGCAGUGGCCCAACUCCAGAGGGGCCGGCUGGGGCCUGCUCUGGGCUGCAAAUGCGCGGCCCACAAAAACGUGCAGCCCGAGGCUUCUGAGACAGAAUCUCCCCUUCUCCCCUGAACGCAGCCCCCAGCAGUAACCCACGCUGGCCGCCCGCCGCUGCCGGUCUCUGCUGGGGCUUUCGCACGCCUUCCCCGCCCCUCUCCCC
This 296-nucleotide long non-coding RNA is filed under the name Pan troglodytes (chimpanzee). RNAcentral describes it as "long non-coding RNA NONPTRT001529". Lineage: Eukaryota; Metazoa; Chordata; Mammalia; Primates; Hominidae. The record is from RNAcentral.